GUCUACAGCCAUGCCACCCUGAACACACCCAAUCUCGUCUGAUCUCAGAAGCUAAGCAGGGUCAGGCCUGGUUAGUACUUGGAUGGGAGACCACCUAGGAAGACUAGGUGCUGUAGGUG
RNAcentral lists this ribosomal RNA (119 nucleotides) under Pteropus alecto (black flying fox). The record is from RNAcentral. Lineage: Eukaryota; Metazoa; Chordata; Mammalia; Chiroptera; Pteropodidae.